ACACAUGCAGUCGAACGGACCCUUCGGGGUUAGUGGCGGACGGGUGAGUAACACGUGGGAACGUGCCUUUAGGUUCGGAAUAGCUCCUGGAAACGGGUGGUAAUGCCGAAUGUGCCCUUCGGGGGAAAGAUUUAUCGCCUUUAGAGCGGCCCGCGUCUGAUUAGCUAGUUGGUGGGGUAAUGGCCCACCAAGGCUACNAUCAGUAGCUGGUCUGAGAGGAUGACCAGCCACAUUGGGACUGAGACACGGCCCAAACUCCUACGGGAGGCAGCAGUGGGGAAUCUUGCGCAAUGGGCGAAAGCCUGACGCAGCCNUGCCGCGUGUAUGAUGAAGGUCUUAGGAUUGUAAAAUACUUUCACCGGUGAANAUAAUGACUGUAGCCGGAGAAGAAGCCCCGGCUAACUUCGUGCCAGCAGCCGCGGUAAUACGAAGGGGGCUAGCGUUGCUCGGAAUUACUGGGCGUAAAGGGAGCGUAGGCGGACAUUUAAGUCAGAGGUGAAAUCCCGGAGCUUAACUUCGGAACUGCCUUUGAUACUGGGUGUCUUGAGUGUGAGAGAGGUAUGUGGAACUCCGAGUGUAGAGGUGAAAUUCGUAGAUAUUCGGAAGAACACCAGUGGCGAAGGCGACAUACUGGCUCAUUACUGACGCUGAGGCUCGAAAGCGUGGGGAGCAAACAGGAUUAGAUACCCUGGUAGUCCACGCCGU
This 705-nucleotide ribosomal RNA is filed under the name unidentified microorganism. RNAcentral's name for it is "bacterial SSU rRNA". It matches the Rfam family "Bacterial small subunit ribosomal RNA", at positions 51 to 803 of the family's 1533-position model. The record is from RNAcentral.